RNAcentral lists this ribosomal RNA (379 nucleotides) under uncultured archaeon. Its description in RNAcentral is "partial 16S ribosomal RNA". The stretch from base 1 to 156 matches the Rfam family "Archaeal small subunit ribosomal RNA", at positions 1323 to 1478 of the family's 1478-position model. The record is from RNAcentral.
UAUGUCCCUGCUCCUUGCACACACCGCCCAUCAAACCAUCCGAGCUGGUGUUGGACGAGGCUCUGCUCAUAUGGGCAGAUUCGAAUCUGAUGUCAGUGAGGAGGGUUAAGUUGUAACAAGGUAUCCGUAGGGGAACCUGCGGAUGGAUCACCUCCACAAAACAAGGCGGGCCACAGGCACAUACAUUUCACUUUACCAAACUUUUUUUACCCUAUUUGAUAUAGUGUUUCUGAAGGUUACUAUUAAUGGGGAUUGAAGAAAAACUCGAGCAGGUUCAAAACAGGGUAGAAAGGCGUUUUACCAACAUAGGUAAAGGCAAAUAUGCCAGAAUAAUAAGGCUUGCAAAGAAACCUACAGAGAGUGAAUAUAUAAAGGUACU